RNAcentral lists this ribosomal RNA (333 nucleotides) under Ochromonas sp. CCMP1393. Its description in RNAcentral is "partial Bacterial large subunit ribosomal RNA". It matches the Rfam family "Bacterial large subunit ribosomal RNA", at positions 1122 to 1444 of the family's 2925-position model. Lineage: Eukaryota; Chrysophyceae; Chromulinales; Chromulinaceae. The record is from RNAcentral.
UUUAAAGAGUGCGUAAUAGCUCACUAGUCGAGUGUCUUUGCGCCGAAGAUGAUCGGGGCUAAGCGUUGUACCGAAGCCGCGGCAUGACAACUAAGUUUCGACCGCGUUGUCAUGGGUAGGGGAGCGUUCCGUAGGCCGUUGAAGCGUGACUGGAAAGACACGUGGAGGUAUCGGAAGUGCGAAUGCAGGAAUGAGUAACGAUAAGAAGGGUGAGAAUCCCUUCCGCCGUAAGCCUAAGGUUUCCUGGACAAGGGUCGUCCUUCCAGGGUUAGGCGGGACCUAAGGCGAGGCCGAAAGGCGUAGUCGAUGGGAAACAGGUUAAUAUUCCUGUAC